Long non-coding RNA from Cyprinus carpio (common carp), 1560 nucleotides. NCBI's taxonomy places the organism in Eukaryota, Metazoa, Chordata, Actinopteri, Cypriniformes, Cyprinidae. The record is from Ensembl.
AUGAAAGUUCAUUCAGACGCUGGUUCGCAGACACAAAGUUGCUCCAGCAGUGACGAGGAGGGAUCAAACAGCCUCUGCGAUAACCAGUUUAUCGUUGUCAAGCUUGAAGAUGAAGAUCCAGAAACCGAGAUGGACCUGAGUAUAUUCGCUCCUGUCGAGUCCUCGGAGUGUGAAGAUGAGGAUGAGGAUGAGCUUUCAGACUCAUCCGGCGUGUCUAGCUGGAGAAAGAAGAGCACCAGAGAGCGAGCCUCAGAUAACCAGGAGGAUUCGGCAGCCCUUGAGAAAGUGUCUUCCAGCAGGAGUUUAAAAGGACAGCGAAAGAGCCGACGGACCUCUCUGGCUGAGCAGAGACACAAGCAGAGUCUGGACUGUAGUGCAGCAAACAGGGACAUGAAUGUAGGACUCCUGUCUGAGGAUCACACAUUUCACCGAGCUGUGCCUCCGUCUGAUUCAGCCAGAGGUCCUGCAGAGAUGUCUGGACUCGACACUGGACUCAGCCCUUUAGCUGCCAUGGAGCCUCCUGUAUUUCCAAAUGCACCAGUACAGAGCAAAUCUGUUGUUGGGGAGGAUCAGCAGAAUAUACUACUUGAGGUCCUGAACCAUUGUAGGUCAUCAUAUGAAAGGAGCUCAGCGAAGCUGAAGAAUGGUUCAAAGCACAAAAGAAAAAUGGAUUCUGCAUUAAAUGAACAAGUUAAUUUUGACAGCCCUAGUGAUAAAGUAUCCCACAUCUCUAAGAGAGGGGCAUCUCUGCCGGCUGAAGAAGGGCAGCUGUCCUGGUCUUUGGCCCAGCGACUCGAUCCACCAGUCCAGAGAAACCCACGCUGGAUCCCUCCCUGGAAACGAGGGCUGGACAGAGCAGACCUUCAGCAGGCUGUCAACAGCAGCCUUCAGUCGGACAAACCUCCUGGCAGUAGACGAGGGAGAGGCAGGGGCAGAGGACGCGGUUGCAGCAGCAGAUCCCAGCGUCACUCUCAAACUCCUGAUCCUGCAUCACUCAUGUCAAAGCCCAGUGGAGAUGAGAUCGUCACUGCAUCAACAGAUGAUCCACAGUUGUGCCAAAUAAUGAAGAACGGCUCUCAGGCUAACACUGGCUCAAAGCGUCAGCAGAAAAGAAAGAAAACCUUGGCUCAGGUGGACAAGGAGAAAAUUGAACUGGAGAAGAUGCCCAACAAUAAAGAGGCCACACUUGAACUUCAGGGUGACAACAAAGUAAUGAUCGGAAGCCCUUUGCGGAAAGUGUGGAUCCCGCUGUCUGUGUACAAGGAGGUGUUUAAGCAGGUGGAUCCCCAGAAGGCUGUAGUGCCUGUGCUUCACGCUCUUUUCCCCAUCAGCACUCUGUCCUGCAGUGCAGUCACAGGAAACCCUGCAAAAGGCAUCCAGCAACUCAACCCCAACAAAAUAGAAGCCCUUCGAGAGUUUCUUGCUGAGAUGUUCCCACAGUUUGAUGUCGGCGUGAGGGGUGUGUCGUGGGCACAGUGUCUUGGAGUGAUAAAUAACAUCACCAAAGACCUCAACAAAAAAGCUGAAAAAAACAUCACAUCUGCCAACAGAGGUUUGUGA